GAUGAACGCUGGCGGCGUGCCUAAUACAUGCAAGUCGAGCGAACGGACGAGAAGCUUGCUUUUCUGAUGUUAGCGGCGGACGGGUGAGUAACACGUGGAUAAUCUACUUAUAAGACUGGGAUAACUUCGGGAAACCGGAGCUAAUACCGGAUAAUAUUCUGAACCGCAUGGUUCAUAAGUGAAAGACGGUCUUGCUGUCACUUAUAGAUGGAUCCGCGCUGCAUUAGCUAGUUGGUAAGGUAACGGCUUACCAAGGCAACGAUGCAUAGCCGACCUGAGAGGGUGAUAGGCCGCCCUGGAACUGGAACGCGGUCCAGGCUACUACGGGAGGCAGCAGUAGGGAAUCUUCGGCAAUGGGCGAGAGCCUGACGGAGCGACGCCGCGUGAGUGGUGACGGUGUUGGGAUCGGAAAAAUCUGUUAUUAGGGGAAAACAUAUGUGUAAGUAGCUGAGGACAGAUUGACGGUACCUGGUCAGAAAGCAACGGCUAACUACGUG
This 497-nucleotide ribosomal RNA is filed under the name uncultured bacterium. Its description in RNAcentral is "partial 16S ribosomal RNA". It matches the Rfam family "Bacterial small subunit ribosomal RNA", at positions 28 to 507 of the family's 1533-position model. The record is from RNAcentral.